This 442-nucleotide ribosomal RNA is filed under the name uncultured bacterium. RNAcentral describes it as "partial 16S ribosomal RNA". It matches the Rfam family "Bacterial small subunit ribosomal RNA", at positions 338 to 795 of the family's 1533-position model. The record is from RNAcentral.
CCUACGGGUGGCAGCAGUGGGGGAUAUUGCACAAUGGGGGGAACCCUGAUGCAGCGACGCCGCGUGGGUGAAGGAGCGUUUCGGCGCGUAAAGCCUUAUCGGCAGGGAAGAAGGAGGACGGUACCUGACUAAGAAGCCCCGGCUAACUACGUGCCAGCAGCCGCGGUAAAACGUAGGGGGCGAGCGUUGUCCGGAAUGACUGGGCGGAAAGGGUGCGUAGGCGGCAUAAUAAGUUAGAAGUGAAAUACCCAGAGCUUAACUCGGGUGCUGCUUCUAAGACUGUUGAGCUUGAGUGCGGGAGAGGUUAAUGGAAUUCCUAGUGUAGCGGUGGAAUGCGUAGAUAUUAGGAGGAACACCAGAGGCGAAGGCGAUUAACUGGACCGUAACUGACGCUGAGGCACGAAAGUGUGGGUAGCAAACAGGAUUAGAUACCCUGGUAGUC